GAUGAACGCUAGCGAUAGGCCUAACACAUGCAAGUCGAGGGGCAUCACAUGAAGUAGCAAUACGGAUGGUGGCGACCGGCGCACGGGUGAGUAACACGUAUGCAACCUGCCUUCAACAAGGGGAUAACCCGUUGAAAGACGGACUAAUACCCUAUAACACAGGGGUCCCGCAUGGGAAUAUUUGUUAAAGGACAACCGGUUGAAGAUGGGCAUGCGUUCCAUUAGCUAGUUGGCGGGGUAACGGCCCACCAAGGCAACGAUGGAUAGGGGAACUGAGAGGUUUAUCCCCCACACUGGUACUGAGACACGGACCAGACUCCUACGGGAGGCAGCAGUGAGGAAUAUUGGUCAAUGGACGCAAGUCUGAACCAGCCACGUCGCGUGAAGGAAGACGGCCCUACGGGUUGUAAACUUCUUUUAACGGGAAUAAAGUGCCCCACGCGUGGGGUUUUGCAUGUACCGUAUGAAUAAGGAUCGGCUAACUCCGUGCCAGCAGCCGCGGUAAGUACUGA
Molecule: ribosomal RNA, 512 nt
Filed under: uncultured bacterium
Lineage: Bacteria
Description: bacterial SSU rRNA
Rfam family: Bacterial small subunit ribosomal RNA
Source: RNAcentral